Molecule: ribosomal RNA, 500 nt
Filed under: uncultured bacterium
Lineage: Bacteria
Description: bacterial SSU rRNA
Rfam family: Bacterial small subunit ribosomal RNA
Source: RNAcentral
GACGAACGCUGGCGGCGUGCCUAAUACAUGCAAGUCGAGCGGAAUGAAGAAGAAGCUUGCUUCUUCUGAUUUUAGCGGCGGACGGGUGAGUAACACGUGGGCAACCUACCAUGUAGAUUGGGAUAACUCCGGGAAACCGGGGCUAAUACCGAAUAAUCCAUUUUGCUUCAUGGCGAGAUGUUGAAAGACGGUUUCGGCUGUCACUACAAGAUGGGCCCGCGGCGCAUUAGCUAGUUGGUAGGGUAAUGGCCUACCAAGGCGACGAUGCGUAGCCGACCUGAGAGGGUGAUCGGCCACACUGGGACUGAGACACGGCCCAGACUCCUACGGGAGGCAGCAGUAGGGAAUCUUCCACAAUGGACGAAAGUCUGAUGGAGCAACGCCGCGUGAGUGAAGAAGGUUUUCGGAUCGUAAAACUCUGUUGUAAGGGAAGAACACGUACGAGAGUAACUGCUCGUACCUUGACGGUACCUUAUUAGAAAGCCACGGCUAACUACGUG